CCUACGGGAGGCUGCAGUAGGGAAUUUUCGGCAAUGGGGGGAACCCUGACCGAGCAACGCCGCGUGAAGGAAGAAGGAAUUCGUUCUGUAAACUUCUGUUAUAAAGGAAGAAAGACGGAUGGAGGAAAUGACAUCCGAGUGACGGUACUUUAUGAGAAAGCCACGGCUAACUACGUGCCAGCAGCCGCGGUAAUGCGUAGUGGGCAAGCGUUAUCCGGAAUUAUUUGGCGUAAAGAGAGAGCAGGCGGGAGAAAAGGUUCGUGGUGAAAGACUGAAACUAAACUUAAGUAAGGCAUAGAAAACGGCCAGCUAGAGUGCAGGAGAGGAUCGUGGAAUUCCAUGUGUAGCGGUGAAAUGCGUAGAUAUAUGGAGGAACACCAGUGGCGAAGGCGACGAUCUGGCCUGCAACUGACGCUCAGUCCCGAAAGCGUGGGGAGCAAAUAGGAUUAGAUACCCUUGUAGUC
This 464-nucleotide ribosomal RNA is filed under the name uncultured bacterium. RNAcentral describes it as "partial 16S ribosomal RNA". It matches the Rfam family "Bacterial small subunit ribosomal RNA", at positions 338 to 795 of the family's 1533-position model. The record is from RNAcentral.